UCUACUCCAGCAACUACUGGAAUUGAUGCUGAAAUAAGUGACCUGCGCAAAAUUGAGGAUGGGUCUGUGAUAUCUAAUAUACACACAUCCAAAUGGAGAGUCUUUACAGACAGUGGAAGGGAUUUAUUUCUACAGGCAUGCAGGCCUCCUAUGUUAUCACUGAUACUUUGUAUUUUUCUUUACAAUUCAAUUUGGUGGUCAUACUCUCUGAACUUGCAGUAGUAAUUCUAUUCAACCAGGGAAAACUUGAGGAAGCUGAAAAACUGUUCCUCUCUGCACUGCAAGAAGCUAAGGAGGGUUUUGGAG
This 306-nucleotide long non-coding RNA is filed under the name Nicotiana tabacum (common tobacco). Its description in RNAcentral is "long non-coding RNA (NTAB_LNC009881)". The record is from RNAcentral. Lineage: Eukaryota; Viridiplantae; Streptophyta; Magnoliopsida; Solanales; Solanaceae.